ACUACGGGUGGCUGCAGUGAGGAAUAUUGGUCAAUGGGCGGAAGCCUGAACCAGCCAAGUAGCGUGCAGGAUGACGGCCCUACGGGUUGUAAACUGCUUUUAUACGGGAAUAACGCGCCUUACGUGUAGGGCUUUGCAUGUACCGUAUGAAUAAGGACCGGCUAAUUCCGUGCCAGCAGCCGCGGUAAUACGGAAGGUCCGGGCGUUAUCCGGAUUUAUUGGGUUUAAAGGGAGCGUAGGCGGCAUGUCAAGCGUGCUGUGAAAUGUCCGGGCUCAACCCGGGCCUUGCAGCGCGAACUGGCGUGCUUGAGUCCGCGGAAAGCAGGCGGAAUUCGUCGUGUAGCGGUGAAAUGCUUAGAUAUGACGAAGAACCCCGAUUGCGAAGGCAGCUUGCUGCAGCGGAACUGACGCUGAUGCUCGAAAGCGCGGGUAUCGAACAGGAUUAGAUACCCGUGUAGUC
RNAcentral lists this ribosomal RNA (460 nucleotides) under uncultured bacterium. Its description in RNAcentral is "partial 16S ribosomal RNA". It matches the Rfam family "Bacterial small subunit ribosomal RNA", at positions 338 to 795 of the family's 1533-position model. The record is from RNAcentral.